GCAAUUAGCACAGGGGAAAAAAAAAAAAAAAAAAAAAAGAGGUUCUCCCAGGGCGAGGCUCAUCCAUUGCACUCCGGGUGUGCUGACCCCUGCGAUUUCCCCAAAUGCGGGAAACUCGACUGCAUAAUUUGUGGUAGUGGGGGGCUGCGUUCGCGCUCUCCCCUG
Small nuclear RNA from Polypterus senegalus (gray bichir), 165 nucleotides. RefSeq annotates it as U1 spliceosomal RNA. Lineage: Eukaryota; Metazoa; Chordata; Cladistia; Polypteriformes; Polypteridae. The transcript has a single exon. The record is from RefSeq and is a predicted model, not a curated record.